AUGGAAAAUGGAAGUUGUCGGUAUCAUUAUCCUCGACAUUUCGCAGAGACCACACAACAAGGAGAGGACUCUUAUCCAAUUUAUAGGCACAGGAAUGACGGCCGUCGAGUGCGCAUCAGGGGUGCAGUUUUGGAUAAUAGAUGGGUUGUCCCAUACAAUCCCUAUUUACUUAUUCGAUACAAUUGCCAUAUAAAUAUUGAAGUUUGCUCUAGCAUCAAGGCUGUGAAAUAUUUAUUCAAAUACAUCUACAAAGGUCAUGAUCGUGCCUCCAUUGUCAUCGAAGCCGCAGAAGAUGAUGUAGUUAUUAAUGAAAUUCGUGAGUAUAGAGAUGCAAGGUUUAUUUCACCUCCGGAAGCAAUCUGGAGGAUUUACUCUUUCAACCUUAGUGAGAUGUAUCCAUCAGUUAUACAGCUACAAGUCCAUCUGCCAAAUAUGCACCUUGUUCACUAUAAAGAUUCAGAAAAAUUAGAGGAUGUGGUCUGCAAAGGAUCGUCUUCGAGAACAAUGCUAACUGAAUACUUCAGAAUGAACUCUAUUGAUAGUUAUGCCAGGAAUUUCUUAUACAAGGAAUUUCCAGAAUUUUUUGUAUGGAAUAAUAGUACCAAGGGCUGA
RNAcentral lists this ribosomal RNA (612 nucleotides) under Triticum aestivum (bread wheat). Its description in RNAcentral is "partial small subunit ribosomal RNA". Lineage: Eukaryota; Viridiplantae; Streptophyta; Magnoliopsida; Poales; Poaceae. The record is from RNAcentral.